Molecule: non-coding RNA, 214 nt
Filed under: Fervidicola ferrireducens
Lineage: Bacteria; Bacillati; Bacillota; Clostridia; Thermosediminibacterales; Thermosediminibacteraceae
Description: T-box sequence
Rfam family: T-box leader
About the family: Uncharged tRNA acts as the effector for transcription antitermination of genes in the T-box leader family.
Source: RNAcentral
GUAAAGGCGUUGACGGGGAGGAGUAGGAAGCCCGCCCUUAUAAAGAGAGGAAGGCCGCCGGCUGAAAGCCUUCUUAAGGGCGCUUUCGAAGGUCGCCCCUGAGCCGCUUCGGCGAAAGAGUAGCCGGAGCCGGUUUUACCGUUAGGUUUUCAAGAGCCCGGGUGAAAAUCCGGGAAUUAAGGUGGUACCGCGAAAGGGGCCUUUCGUCCUUAAA